This 729-nucleotide long non-coding RNA is filed under the name Rattus norvegicus (Norway rat). Its description in RNAcentral is "long non-coding RNA NONRATT029964". The record is from RNAcentral. Lineage: Eukaryota; Metazoa; Chordata; Mammalia; Rodentia; Muridae.
AGAAUCAUAGAAAGGAAACUAAGAAGGUUAUUGGCCAGCUUCCACUACACACUGUGAAGCAUGGAGAGAAGGGAAUCGAUGUUGAUGCUGAGAAUUGUGCAGUGUGUAUUGAAAACUUUAAAGUCAAAGAUGUUAUCAGAAUCCUGCCAUGCAAGGGGACCCUGAAGAUGCACAGGACCUACCCAUCCCAGAAGCUGCCCCAGGAAGUGUUUCUGUUGGGAAUCUGAGUGUGACAGUCCAAGAUGAGGAGAGGAGUGAAAGCAACCUUCCAUCAUCUUCCUCAAGCGAGUUUGGGCCACACCGCCCUUGUCUUAAAGAAGAUGCAGAGGAGGACACAGCAUUGCUAGGAGCCGGCAGGAGUGACCCUCAGCAUGGAGGAUCCAUCUGCUAGUGCCGUCUUCAUUGACAGCCUCACCGACAGAGCCUUGGCUUGAAUACAGGACACUCAGUUUUCACUCUAGGGCAUAGUUUGUACACUUGAAAACAGUGGAUUCUAUUUUACUUUACCUUUCAGAUUCAGGUUUGAUAUACAAAGGGCUGAGAUAUUUUAUUCCUAAAAGACUUUAAUUAGCCUUCAUCUAUUUAUCUACUAAAGUAUGAUGUCUAUCAUAAAUUUCAUUGUAUCAAACUGUCACAGAUGUAUGUGGAGGGGUUGUUUCUGAGUACUAGACUAGCUUCUGUGGUACUAUAAAACAAGAUUCUGUUUCUCAGGCCUUUUAGACAAAGCUC